GAUGAACGCUGGCGGCGUGCUUAACACAUGCAAGUCGAGCGAGAAGUUUUGAAAAGAUUCUUCGGAUGAAAUUUAAAAUGGAAAGCGGCGGACGGGUGAGUAACGCGUAGGCAACCUGCCCCAUACAAAGGGAUAGCAUUUGGAAACGAAUAUUAAUACCUUAUGAAACUUAACUAGUGCAUGCUAGGUAGGUCAAAGAUUUAUCGGUAUGGGAUGGGCCUGCGUCUGAUUAGCUAGUUGGUGAGGUAACGGCUCACCAAGGCGACGAUCAGUAGCCGACCUGAGAGGGUGAACGGCCACAUUGGAACUGAGACACGGUCCAAACUCCUACGGGAGGCAGCAGUGGGGAAUAUUGCACAAUGGGGGAAACCCUGAUGCAGCAACGCCGCGUGAACGAUGAAGGCCUUUGGGUCGUAAAGUUCUGUUCUAGGUGAUGAAAACUGACAGUAACCUA
RNAcentral lists this ribosomal RNA (454 nucleotides) under [Eubacterium] brachy. RNAcentral describes it as "bacterial SSU rRNA". It matches the Rfam family "Bacterial small subunit ribosomal RNA", at positions 28 to 482 of the family's 1533-position model. The record is from RNAcentral. Lineage: Bacteria; Bacillati; Bacillota; Clostridia; Peptostreptococcales; Anaerovoracaceae.